AGAGUUUGAUCCUGGCUCAGGACGAACGCUGGCGGCGUGCUUAACACAUGCAAGUCGAACGGAAAGGCCCUUCGGGGUACUCGAGUGGCGAACGGGUGAGUAACACGUGGGUGAUCUGCCCUGCACUUUGGGAUAAGCCUGGGAAACUGGGUCUAAUACCGAAUAUGACCACGCUCUUCAUGGGGUGUGGUGGAAAGCUUUUGCGGUGUGGGAUGGGCCCGCGGCCUAUCAGCUUGUUGGUGGGGUAAUGGCCUACCAAGGCGACGACGGGUAGCCGGCCUGAGAGGGUGACCGGCCACACUGGGACUGAGAUACGGCCCAGACUCCUACGGGAGGCAGCAGUGGGGAAUAUUGCACAAUGGGCGCAAGCCUGAUGCAGCGACGCCGCGUGAGGGAUGACGGCCUUCGGGUUGUAAACCUCUUUCACCAGGGACGAAGCGCAAGUGACGGUACCUGGAGAAGAAGCACCGGCCAACUACGUGCCAGCAGCCGCGGUAAUACGUAGGGUGCGAGCGUUGUCCGGAAUUACUGGGCGUAAAGAGCUCGUAGGUGGUUUGUCGCGUUGUUCGUGAAAACUCACAGCUUAACUGUGGGCGUGCGGGCGAUACGGGCAGACUAGAGUAUUGCAGGGGAGACUGGAAUUCCUGGUGUAGCGGUGGAAUGCGCAGAUAUCAGGAGGAACACCGGUGGCGAAGGCGGGUCUCUGGGCAGUAACUGACGCUGAGGAGCGAAAGCGUGGGGAGCGAACAGGAUUAGAUACCCUGGUAGUCCAA
Molecule: ribosomal RNA, 773 nt
Filed under: uncultured bacterium
Lineage: Bacteria
Description: bacterial SSU rRNA
Rfam family: Bacterial small subunit ribosomal RNA
Source: RNAcentral